GGUUACGCUAGCUAGUACAACUCUGUAUGUAUCUACUCUGUGGCUAGGAGAAAGAAUCUUAACAGAAUCAUGAUACAGGGAAAGAAUAUUAUAAGAUUGCUUAUGUGGAUGAACUCUGCACUCGAUGCUUAUGUAUUCGUUUAUUAAUCUCUUUUGAGAAAUUUAUGAUGUGGACGCUUUUCUUGUAGGGGCCGAAUUGAGAAAUUAAUGAACAUGUUUAAAAGUACCCCACCACAAAGACUGCCCCCCCCCCC
This is a non-coding RNA of Paramuricea clavata, 254 nucleotides long. NCBI's taxonomy places the organism in Eukaryota, Metazoa, Cnidaria, Anthozoa, Malacalcyonacea, Plexauridae. The record is from the annotation of a GenBank genome assembly.